This is a non-coding RNA of Oryza barthii, 205 nucleotides long. The record is from Rfam. NCBI's taxonomy places the organism in Eukaryota, Viridiplantae, Streptophyta, Magnoliopsida, Poales, Poaceae.
AAAAAGAUAAACCUUGAGUUUCCGUGUCUAGUUUUAACUGUCCGUCUUAUAUAAUUUUAUUUUAUAAUUCGUAUUUUUAUUAUUGUUAGAUGAUAAAACAUGAUUAAUAUUUUAUGCGUGACUUGUCUUUUUAAUUUUUUUAUAAUUUUUUUAAAUAAGACGGAUGGUUAAAUGUUAGACAUGUAAAUCAGGGUUUGUAGAGACG